UUAAAUUGAAGAGUUUGAUCAUGGCUCAGAUUGAACGCUGGCGGCAGGCCUAACACAUGCAAGUCGAACGGUAACAGGAAACAGCUUGCUGUUUCGCUGACGAGUGGCGGACGGGUGAGUAAUGUCUGGGAAACUGCCUGAUGGAGGGGGAUAACUACUGGAAACGGUAGCUAAU
RNAcentral lists this ribosomal RNA (175 nucleotides) under Escherichia coli. RNAcentral describes it as "partial 16S ribosomal RNA". It matches the Rfam family "Bacterial small subunit ribosomal RNA", at positions 1 to 167 of the family's 1533-position model. Lineage: Bacteria; Pseudomonadati; Pseudomonadota; Gammaproteobacteria; Enterobacterales; Enterobacteriaceae. The record is from RNAcentral.